UACGUAGGGUGCGAGCGUUAAUCGGAAUUACUGGGCGUAAAGCGCGCGCAGGCGGUCUUCCAAGUCAGUGGUGAAAGCCCGGAGCUCAACUCCGGAACUGCCAUUGAAACUGUAAGACUUGAGGACGAGAGAGGUGAGUGGAAUUCCCAGUGUAGAGGUGAAAUUCGUAGAUAUUGGGAAGAACACCAGUGGCGAAGGCGGCUCACUGGCUCGUAUCUGACGCUCAGGCGCGACAGCGUGGGGAUCAAACAGG
RNAcentral lists this ribosomal RNA (253 nucleotides) under uncultured bacterium. RNAcentral describes it as "partial 16S ribosomal RNA". It matches the Rfam family "Bacterial small subunit ribosomal RNA", at positions 524 to 776 of the family's 1533-position model. The record is from RNAcentral.